This 65-nucleotide transfer RNA is filed under the name Gaetice depressus. Its description in RNAcentral is "tRNA-His". It matches the Rfam family "tRNA". From Rfam's summary of the family: Transfer RNA (tRNA) molecules are approximately 80 nucleotides in length. Their secondary structure includes four short double-helical elements and three loops (D, anti-codon, and T loops). Lineage: Eukaryota; Metazoa; Arthropoda; Malacostraca; Decapoda; Varunidae. The record is from RNAcentral.
ACUUAAAUAGUUUAAAUAAAACGUUAGCUUGUGGCGCUUAAAAUGUAAGUAGAUUACUUUAAGUA